UGCAUAUCAAUAAGCGGAGGAAAAGAAACCAACAGGGAUUGCCUCAGUAGCGGCGAGUGAAGCGGCAAGAGCUCAGAUUUGAAAUCGUGCUUUGCGGCACGAGUUGUAGAUUGCAGGUUGGAGUCUGUGUGGAAGGCGGUGUCCAAGUCCCUUGGAACAGGGCGCCCAGGAGGGUGAGAGCCCCGUGGGAUGCCGGCGGAAGCAGUGAGGCCCUUCUGACGAGUCGAGUUGUUUGGGAAUGCAGCUCCAAGCGGGUGGUAAAUUCCAUCUAAGGCUAAAUACUGGCGAGAGACCGAUAGCGAACAAGUACUGUGAAGGAAAGAUGAAAAGCACUUUGAAAAGAGAGUGAAACAGCACGUGAAAUUGUUGAAAGGGAAGGGUAUUGCGCCCGACAUGGGGAUUGCGCACCGCUGCCUCUCGUGGGCGGCGCUCUGGGCUUUCCCUGGGCCAGCAUCGGUUCUUGCUGCAGGAGAAGGGGUUCUGGAACGUGGCUCUUCGGAGUGUUAUAGCCAGGGCCAGAUGCUGCGUGCGGGGACCGAGGACUGCGGCCGUGUAGGUCACGGAUGCUGGCAGAACGGCGCAACACCGCCCGUCUUGAAACACG
Molecule: ribosomal RNA, 604 nt
Filed under: Pichia kudriavzevii
Lineage: Eukaryota; Fungi; Ascomycota; Pichiomycetes; Pichiales; Pichiaceae
Description: eukaryotic LSU rRNA
Rfam family: Eukaryotic large subunit ribosomal RNA
Source: RNAcentral